Molecule: ribosomal RNA, 216 nt
Filed under: Glomeromycotina sp. 8949-C
Lineage: Eukaryota; Fungi; Glomeromycota
Description: partial small subunit ribosomal RNA
Rfam family: Eukaryotic small subunit ribosomal RNA (bases 47-216)
Source: RNAcentral
GGAUCAAUACGUCGGUCGUGCCUUCGGUACGUACUGUCGUCAUUGGUUUCUCCCUUCUGACGAACCAUGAUGUCAUUAAUUUGGUGUUAUGGGGAGUUAGGACUGUUACUUUGAAAAAAUUAGAGUGUUUAAAGCAGGCAUUAGCUUGAAUACAUUAGCAUGGAAUAAUGAAAUAGGACGUUCGAUCCUAUUUUGUUGGUUUCUAGGAUCAACGUA